UGUUUUGUGAUUUUUUUAUUUUAUUUUGACUUUGGCUACUAAAAGUGCCUGCAUUUGUGCAUUAAAUUAUGUACACAUGUGAGACUUCUAAUUGAAUAAUUUGUUUGUUUAUUUAUUUUUGUUCAAUUCUUUUUCUUUUAAAUUAGAAAAAUAACACUAUCGCUUCUGCUUUGCCUGCGCAGAUGAUGCAAUCUACAAAUCUACCCACGUGAAAGAUGAUAAGAAAAUAUGGGAAGUCAUAAUCAGGGUCCCUAUUCUUUAUGUUUUCUCAAUUAGGACAUGAUUUCUACAUUUGUAUUAAACAAGUCCUCAAACCUAACCUUUGUUUUGAAAUUAGGUAGGUAACCUUCAUUGAAAUGACUGAAUAUUAAGGAUGACGAAAAUCUUGAAAAGGUCCUCAAGGACCCUUCCCAUAGGAUCAGAGAUCGAAGGAUGAAAAACUCAAAAUACUAACAUAAA
RNAcentral lists this long non-coding RNA (459 nucleotides) under Citrus x clementina. RNAcentral describes it as "Citrus clementina (C. clementina) long non-coding RNA (CCLE_LNC001008)". Lineage: Eukaryota; Viridiplantae; Streptophyta; Magnoliopsida; Sapindales; Rutaceae. The record is from RNAcentral.